This 1890-nucleotide long non-coding RNA is filed under the name Setaria italica (foxtail millet). RNAcentral's name for it is "long non-coding RNA (SITA_LNC002639)". The record is from RNAcentral. Lineage: Eukaryota; Viridiplantae; Streptophyta; Magnoliopsida; Poales; Poaceae.
GGUUACUGUAGCACCACACUGUCAAAUCAUGGACUAAUUAGGCUUAAUAGAUUCAUCUCGCGAAUUAGACUCCAUCUGUGCAAUUAGUUUUGUAAUUAGCCUAUAUUUAAUACUCCUAAUUAGUAUCCAAACAUCCGAUGUGACAGGUGCUAAAUUUUAGCAGGGAGUAUCCAAACGGGGCCAAAGUGAAAGAGCUUCAGUCAACCACAAUCGGUGCAGAUUGUGUGAGGCCCACAAGGGAAAAGUGGACUAGGACAUCAACAGCCAGUAUUGGAAAUGGUACAGUUCCACUGAAUGAGAAAGCUGCCGUUCUAUUACAGGAUGUUACUAGGAAAUAUUUGGUGCCUGUUGAGUGUUUACCUUUUCAUGAAAUUAUCUGCUUCAAGAAUGUUGAUGUUCUCUUCCUUUUACCUCAGAAAAAAGAGAGAAAAGAGGUCUUGGGUUUAUCAGCUCUUCUUCGCCGAAGUCAAACCCACAAAGGAAGGAAAGCAAUUCAUUUGCUGCCCACUACAGCGUGAUGAGAAUGGUAUAAAUUUAAUCCAAUUGAUAUCGCACAUUAAAUUCUUACAUGACAUCUAUAAUACAAAUAUUUGCUGGUUAAUUAUGAAAAUAAAAAUGUAUUGGUGGAAGAAAUAAGAUAGUUUCAUUUUCAAUAACCUUUGUUGAUUGUGUAUCUGAUUUAAAGAUGUGUCUAAACUCUAAACUACUUUUUUUUAAUUGUUGCCGGAAUGUUGGCAUUGAUCUUGGGCACCCAACAAGUGCCGUGUACGAGAAGGGUCAAGAGGGCUCUGGAUUUCCAUUUGACAGCUUCAGUGUGAGUGACCACUAGUGAUAAGGUAUGUUUUCUGAUUUGUAACUGUUUCAUGUUCUUUUCAUUACCCUAUUGGGUUGUUUCGUCAGCUCUGAAUUCGACUCUCGAAUUCGUCCAUGUCAGAAUGCUAGUGUUCGAUUGAAUUUGCUCUGCUUUUUUCUAUAAUUGAUUGCGAAGUGAUUGCAGUGAUCACUACCUAGCAGAAUAAUUUGAUAAAAUUGAGCGUCUAAGUGUCCCUAUGGUUUCAUUCGCUGUAGAUUUGAAGAGCAAUACGCAUAUGGCUUGGGAAUCGCUCAUUUCACCUCGGUUGAUAUGAAAAUUAUUUUUCUUAGAUAAAAUUGCUCUGGUUACAUUCAAAGAAAAGCGUGCAACAAACCACAGCAAUAUGCUUGCUAGGUUGAUGAAUUUAUUCGAAUCUGCUUGCAGCGUGUGAUGGAUUUUCGUAUUCGUUUGUGUUCUGUUCUCCUCGGCAAAACCACAGCAGGAAUGGAUGGUUUCCUCCUGCUAUUUUACUGAAAUAGAUAUUUUCUGUGGUGCUUUGGUCUAACAUAAUUAUUGGAAAAAUACUGGUCCUUUCUCAUAAACUAUGGUGUUUUCUCUGCUGCGCAGGGCACUUUCGAUCUCAUAGUGGGUGCUUCUUCAACCAAUGGGCAAAGUCUCCACCUGAAUAACUUUAGUGGCACCUUGUGCAUAAGCAUCCUCUUUCUUCUUUUUUUUUCUUUUUGACUGGAACUGAGGACUUGUUGCAUGUUUUAUACGUUGUGGCAGCGGAAUUGUUGAGUGCCUAUGGUUUGCAUCUAUGAUGCCAUAUUUUGUAAAACUGCUAUUUGUCAAUGUUCAAAUGUGUAAUGCACUAAUCUAUGCUGAAAUGUUUGUAGAUUCUGUAAAUCUCUCUUUAUGUGUGUGUGUGUGUGUUGCCAUAUCAUCGGUGGGGCAUUGAAUCACCGCAAAAUGUUCAAAAUUGAUGCGUAGGCGCAAUGCUGUGAUCUUUGUUGUUAUAUACGUCAUCGCCUUAAAAUUCAUAGGUAUAUAGGGAUCGGCACAACUUUUUGUGCGAAACAUGCCCGAACAAAGUUGAU